This 2935-nucleotide ribosomal RNA is filed under the name Serratia marcescens. Its description in RNAcentral is "bacterial LSU rRNA". It matches the Rfam family "Bacterial large subunit ribosomal RNA". The record is from RNAcentral. Lineage: Bacteria; Pseudomonadati; Pseudomonadota; Gammaproteobacteria; Enterobacterales; Yersiniaceae.
GGGUUGUGAGGUUAAGUGACUAAGCGUACACGGUGGAUGCCUAGGCAGUCAGAGGCGAUGAAGGGCGUGCUAAUCUGCGAAAAGCGUCGGUAAGGUGAUAUGAACCGUUACAACCGGCGAUACCCGAAUGGGGAAACCCAGUGUGUUUCGACACACUAUCAUGUCAUGAAUACAUAGUGGCAUGAGGCGAACCGGGGGAACUGAAACAUCUAAGUACCCCGAGGAAAAGAAAUCAACCGAGAUUCCCCCAGUAGCGGCGAGCGAACGGGGAGGAGCCCAGAACCUGAAUCGGCUUGUGUGUUAGUGGAAGCGUCUGGAAAGUCGCGCAGUAAAGGGUGAUAGCCCCGUACACUAAAAUGCACAGGUCGUGAGUUCGAUGAGUAGGGCGGGACACGUGACAUCCUGUCUGAAUAUGGGGGGACCAUCCUCCAAGGCUAAAUACUCCUGACUGACCGAUAGUGAACCAGUACCGUGAGGGAAAGGCGAAAAGAACCCCGGCGAGGGGAGUGAAAUAGAACCUGAAACCGUGUACGUACAAGCAGUGGGAGCACCUUCGUGGUGUGACUGCGUACCUUUUGUAUAAUGGGUCAGCGACUUAUAUUUUGUAGCAAGGUUAACCGUAUAGGGGAGCCGUAGGGAAACCGAGUCUUAACUGGGCGAAUAGUUGCAAGGUAUAGACCCGAAACCCGGUGAUCUAGCCAUGGGCAGGUUGAAGGUUGGGUAACACUAACUGGAGGACCGAACCGACUAAUGUUGAAAAAUUAGCGGAUGACUUGUGGCUGGGGGUGAAAGGCCAAUCAAACCGGGAGAUAGCUGGUUCUCCCCGAAAGCUAUUUAGGUAGCGCCUCGUGAACUCAUCUUCGGGGGUAGAGCACUGUUUCGGCUAGGGGGCCAUCCCGGCUUACCAAACCGAUGCAAACUCCGAAUACCGAAGAAUGUUAUCACGGGAGACACACGGCGGGUGCUAACGUCCGUCGUGAAGAGGGAAACAACCCAGACCGCCAGCUAAGGUCCCAAAGUCAUGGUUAAGUGGGAAACGAUGUGGGAAGGCAUAGACAGCCAGGAUGUUGGCUUAGAAGCAGCCAUCAUUUAAAGAAAGCGUAAUAGCUCACUGGUCGAGUCGGCCUGCGCGGAAGAUGUAACGGGGCUAAACCAUGCACCGAAGCUGCGGCAGCGACGCUUAGGCGUUGUUGGGUAGGGGAGCGUUCUGUAAGCCGUUGAAGGUGGCCUGUGAGGGUUGCUGGAGGUAUCAGAAGUGCGAAUGCUGACAUAAGUAACGAUAAAGCGGGUGAAAAGCCCGCUCGCCGGAAGACCAAGGGUUCCUGUCCAACGUUAAUCGGGGCAGGGUGAGUCGACCCCUAAGGCGAGGCUGAAAAGCGUAGUCGAUGGGAAACAGGUUAAUAUUCCUGUACUUGGUGUUACUGCGAAGGGGGGACGGAGAAGGCUAGGCUAGCCGGGCGACGGUUGUCCCGGUUUAAGCGUGUAGGGGGUGUGACCUGGUAAAUCCGGUUGCAUAUCAACCCUGAGGCGUGAUGACGAUGCACUACGGUGCAGAAGUAGUUGAUGCCCUGCUUCCAGGAAAAGCCUCUAAGCUCUAGGUAACAUUAAAUCGUACCCCAAACCGACACAGGUGGUCAGGUAGAGAAUACCAAGGCGCUUGAGAGAACUCGGGUGAAGGAACUAGGCAAAAUGGUGCCGUAACUUCGGGAGAAGGCACGCUGGCAUGUAGGUGAAGUCCCUUGCGGAUGGAGCUGAAGCCAGUCGAAGAUACCAGCUGGCUGCAACUGUUUAAUAAAAACACAGCACUGUGCAAACACGAAAGUGGACGUAUACGGUGUGACGCCUGCCCGGUGCUGGAAGGUUAAUUGAUGGGGUCAGCCGCAAGGCGAAGCUCUUGAUCGAAGCCCCAGUAAACGGCGGCCGUAACUAUAACGGUCCUAAGGUAGCGAAAUUCCUUGUCGGGUAAGUUCCGACCUGCACGAAUGGCGUAAUGAUGGCCAGGCUGUCUCCACCCGAGACUCAGUGAAAUUGAACUCGCUGUGAAGAUGCAGUGUACCCGCGGCAAGACGGAAAGACCCCGUGAACCUUUACUAUAGCUUGACACUGAACAUUGAGCCUUGAUGUGUAGGAUAGGUGGGAGGCUUUGAAGCGUGGACGCCAGUCUGCGUGGAGCCAUCCUUGAAAUACCACCCUUUAAUGUUUGAUGUUCUAACUCGGCCCCAUAAUCUGGGGUGAGGACAGUGUCUGGUGGGUAGUUUGACUGGGGCGGUCUCCUCCCAAAGAGUAACGGAGGAGCACGAAGGUUAGCUAAUCACGGUCGGACAUCGUGAGGUUAGUGCAAAGGCAUAAGCUAGCUUGACUGCGAGAGUGACGGCUCGAGCAGGUACGAAAGUAGGUCUUAGUGAUCCGGUGGUUCUGAAUGGAAGGGCCAUCGCUCAACGGAUAAAAGGUACUCCGGGGAUAACAGGCUGAUACCGCCCAAGAGUUCAUAUCGACGGCGGUGUUUGGCACCUCGAUGUCGGCUCAUCACAUCCUGGGGCUGAAGUAGGUCCCAAGGGUAUGGCUGUUCGCCAUUUAAAGUGGUACGCGAGCUGGGUUUAGAACGUCGUGAGACAGUUCGGUCCCUAUCUGCCGUGGGCGUUGGAAGAUUGAGAGGGGUUGCUCCUAGUACGAGAGGACCGGAGUGAACGCACCACUGGUGUUCGGGUUGUCAUGCCAAUGGCAUUGCCCGGUAGCUAAGUGCGGAAAAGAUAAGCGCUGAAAGCAUCUAAGCGCGAAACUUGCCUCAAGAUGAGUCUUCCCUGGGCCUUUAAGGUCCCUGAAGGAACGUUUAAGACUAAGACGUUGAUAGGCUGGGUGUGUAAGUGCAGCGAUGCAUUGAGCUAACCAGUACUAAUGAUCCGUGAGGCUUAACCUUACAACACCGAAGGUGUUU